RNAcentral lists this long non-coding RNA (4754 nucleotides) under Lotus japonicus. Its description in RNAcentral is "long non-coding RNA (LJAP_LNC001101)". The record is from RNAcentral. Lineage: Eukaryota; Viridiplantae; Streptophyta; Magnoliopsida; Fabales; Fabaceae.
AAUAACAUUGAAAGAAGGAUUGUACCUUUUGGGUUUGGAUAACACUUCACCUACCUUCACUUCUGCUAUGCAGAACUCUGUUCCAGCUUUGACCUUUCUCAUGGCUGUCAUACUCAGGCAAGCUAUGAAGUUCUUACUUUUAAGUGCAUGUUUGAUAAUUCUUUCACUAUUGAUUCUACAGCUAAAAUUAAUUCUGAGAAUAAGCUUCCGUGAGUAGCUUUUGAGUGUCAGAGCUAUUCUGAUAAAAGAGAAGUUGGUCCAUAUAUUAAAAUAUUUGUAGAAAUGCUUGUAUAACAUUGUUCAAUUAUACAUGUGAAAUGCAGAUAUGAGAGUGUGCACUUCAAUAGGAUAGAUGGUCUGGCUAAGGUCCUUGGAGUCCUUGCUUCUGUUGGAGGAGCUUCAAUCAUUACCCUUUACAAGGGGCCUACGAUUUAUACGCCAAAUUUAGCACAGCAUCAGGAGCAAUUCUUGUCUGUGCUCCGGGAUGUCACAGCAAAAAACAUGAACAUGGGUGGCAUUUAUCUUAUUGGUCACUGCUUAUGUUGGUCUGGUUGGAUUGUGAUGCAAGCAUUUGUUCUGAAAAACUACUCAGCCCCUCUCACAGUUUCUGCGUUUACUUGCUUCUUUGGUAUUGUGCAGUUUAUAACAAUUGCAGCCUUUUUCGAGAAGGAUCCCAAAUCCUGGCAACUCAAUUCUAGUCAAGAGAUCUACAGCAUUUUGUAUUCGGUUUGUAAAUCAAACUUAGUUGGGUUAUUCACUAGCAUGUUGCUCUCUAUGUUCACAACUAAUAUCAGUUUUCUCUAUGAGCUGCUUCUACCUCCUUACUUAAUUUAGUGAUCAUAAUUGAUUACCUUGACAUCAAUAAAACUCAUUUUAACUGUUCGGAUCUAUUAUGUAACUAGUUUUCAUGUUACAAAUUACAUGUUUAAGGAAGCCAAGUAUAACAAAUAUGAUGAUAACAAAAUAGACUUGUUUGUAUCAGGGUCUGGUGUUUUCAGGGCUGGCAGCAGCAUUACAGAUAUGGGCUAUUGGCAAGGGAGGGCCAGUGCUUGCUUCAAUUUAUCUUCCUUUACAGACAUUACUUGUAGCCUUGAUGUCAUCCAUUGUUUUUGGAGAAGAUUUCUUCUUGGGAGGGUGGGAUGUCUUGAUUCAAGCUGCUUCAAUUUCUUUUUGUUAUCUUAAAACUUUUCUAAUUGCAAAAUAUGCUUCCCCCUAGAGGGAGUUCUAAACUAAAAGUUGGAUUAUCUGAGAUUUGUUUAUUAGUUAUCCAAAGUGCCUUUGACUUAUGCUAUAUAAAUCUAAAUAUUUUCAAUUUUGAGGUGCAGGAUUAUUGGAGCUUUCUUAAUUAUGACGGGCUUAUACCUUGUUGUGUGGGGAAGAACUCAAGAAACCAAGUCUGCCAAAGAGUACAUGAAAGUCCCCAUUGAGUCUGAGAAUCACCCGGAAGCAAAAAUUGGGAGUGGUUCUCUCAUGCAACAAUUGAUUCCUACACAAAAUGUUUAGAUGAUAGAGCUGAAGAAUUUAUAUGAUAGUAAAACUGUAAAAGUCCUUUAAGGGGGACCAACUAAUGCAACAUUUAUUUGUUGCAGCAACGUUAUAUGAUUUGUUUCACUAAUUCUUGCAUCCCUCUACUAUUUUUUUUUGGUCAAUAAUUUGUAAUUUAUACUUAAUUUUUUUAUAAUUAAACAACUUGUAGAAAAAUAUUAUUGUAUUUUUAUUCUUUCACACCUCACUUAUACUUUUAUUUCAUAUCUACCCAUUGUAAUAUUUAUCACUCUUUUGCUCUUAUUUCUCUUUUCGGGUGUGGGUGUAAUGAUUGUGAAUAAGUAUUAUUGUGAAAAAAGAAAGAAUAAGAGGGGCUUGGUUUUUUUGGUAAACCCAUGGUUACAAAACGAUAACCCCUUACCACAACAUGUGUUCAUUUCCAUAAAUAAGGAUAAAUUCUCAAACAUCAUACUUAAAGAACGAAGUGAGCUAACCACUACUCACACACUUUAUCUUUAAUGAAGGGCUUGGUAAGCCACUAAGGUAAAUGAAGACAGCAAGGAAUAUUAACAGAGCAACACUAAAUGACAUUCAAAUUAAGAUUUUAGUAAUCGUUGACAAAAAUAAGUACAUUCAGGCAUCUUUGAAGGAAACAUCAUUUUUCUGAAUGAAUCAAAAUCCAGUAACAUAACAUGGUUGGUUAACCAAUCAAAUAUUCAAAAUAAACUUUGAAGGCUUUGCCUCGAGGAGAUUAGUAUAAUGACCAUCGGCUUUGGGAUAACUAGGGGAAAAAAACUGUAUAAUUAUAAUUAGUUGGUUACAGGCGUGUUGGUCCAAAUUGGUGUUCUAUGGGAAAACAUGGAUUGAUUUUUAUUAAUAUUUUGACAGUAAACAUGGAGUGAUUGAGCUAUUGCAACAUGUCAGGCUUUGACUUCAAAUGCCCUUCCUUCACUUUGGGGUGAAAUGGAGUGGAUGAAAGAUUGGAUUGAGGAGUGUAGCUAAUAUUCAAUGGCGCAUCACAAUCACAUGCACGCAAGCAAUCCAAUUACUAACAGUAGAUUAUUAGAGUGUCCAUUAACACUUUUUACCAUGAAGCGACAGAAAUUAUUUAUAGAUUACUAAUAAACACGUUGCACUUUGUUUUCUUUUGUCACCACUUACAAGAAGGUAGAACUAAACAAGAUUGCAAUUAUUAUAGAUCUCUUAUCUUCCACUUCCAGACAGUUUUUGCCUCUUGCCCCUGGUCAACCAGUUCUAAACAUUGAUCUCCGAGUACCUGCUUCUCUUUUUGGCAUUGAACCAUCAGUAUUCACUAUUCAGUACCUGGGAACAAGAGAAUAUGGUAGCUGAACGAGCUAAGCUGCACUUAGCUUUAACGUUUUUGCAAUUUUGUUAUGCAGGAAACCACAUAUUUGUGAGGAUUGCACUUGAUUCAGGCGUCAGCAAGCUUGUAUUUCCUGUCUAUAGAAACAUCACUGCUCUUCUUCUUCUGGGUCCCUUAGCUUAUUUUUCAGAGAAGUAUGCACUUCAGUUCUAUACCAUAUAUAAAUGAAUUCUGUCAUGUUCCCAGUUUCAGCUAUCUUACCUUUUUCUUUUUCUUUUUUGGAUCUUAUUGUUUGCCUCUUUGCAAGGAAAGACAGGCCAUCAAUAACCAGAUAUUGUCUUGUCCAAUUUUUCCUUCUAGGACUUGUUGGGUAUGUAUGAUCUUUCCAUGAAGCUACUCCACUGUAUCAAUUAAUUGGCAAUGUUUGUGUAACUUAAAAAGUAUUAAUUUUGAUUCUUGCAGAAUAACAUUGAAAGAAGGGUUCCAUCUUUGAAGGAAACAUCAUUUUUCUGAAUGAAUCAAAAUCCAGUAACAUAACAUGGUUGGUUAACCAAUCAAAUAUUCAAAAUAAACUUUGAAGGCUUUGCCUCGAGGAGAUUAGUAUAAUGACCAUCGGCUUUGGGAUAACUAGGGGAAAAAAACUGUAUAAUUAUAAUUAGUUGGUUACAGGCGUGUUGGUCCAAAUUGGUGUUCUAUGGGAAAACAUGGAUUGAUUUUUAUUAAUAUUUUGACAGUAAACAUGGAGUGAUUGAGCUAUUGCAACAUGUCAGGCUUUGACUUCAAAUGCCCUUCCUUCACUUUGGGGUGAAAUGGAGUGGAUGAAAGAUUGGAUUGAGGAGUGUAGCUAAUAUUCAAUGGCGCAUCACAAUCACAUGCACGCAAGCAAUCCAAUUACUAACAGUAGAUUAUUAGAGUGUCCAUUAACACUUUUUACCAUGAAGCGACAGAAAUUAUUUAUAGAUUACUAAUAAACACGUUGCACUUUGUUUUCUUUUGUCACCACUUACAAGAAGGUAGAACUAAACAAGAUUGCAAUUAUUAUAGAUCUCUUAUCUUCCACUUCCAGACAGUUUUUGCCUCUUGCCCCUGGUCAACCAGUUCUAAACAUUGAUCUCCGAGUACCUGCUUCUCUUUUUGGCAUUGAACCAUCAGUAUUCACUAUUCAGUACCUGGGAACAAGAGAAUAUGGUAGCUGAACGAGCUAAGCUGCACUUAGCUUUAACGUUUUUGCAAUUUUGUUAUGCAGGAAACCACAUAUUUGUGAGGAUUGCACUUGAUUCAGGCGUCAGCAAGCUUGUAUUUCCUGUCUAUAGAAACAUCACUGCUCUUCUUCUUCUGGGUCCCUUAGCUUAUUUUUCAGAGAAGUAUGCACUUCAGUUCUAUACCAUAUAUAAAUGAAUUCUGUCAUGUUCCCAGUUUCAGCUAUCUUACCUUUUUCUUUUUCUUUUUUGGAUCUUAUUGUUUGCCUCUUUGCAAGGAAAGACAGGCCAUCAAUAACCAGAUAUUGUCUUGUCCAAUUUUUCCUUCUAGGACUUGUUGGGUAUGUAUGAUCUUUCCAUGAAGCUACUCCACUGUAUCAAUUAAUUGGCAAUGUUUGUGUAACUUAAAAAGUAUUAAUUUUGAUUCUUGCAGAAUAACAUUGAAAGAAGGGUUCUACCUUUUGGGUUUGGAUAACACUUCACCUACCUUUGCUGCUGCUAUGCAGAACUCUGUUCCAGCUCUGACCUUUCUCAUGGCUGUAGUACUCAGGCAAGCUAUAAAGUUCUUACUUUAAAUCCAUGUUUCAAAGCUCUUCUAUAAUUGAUUCCAAAGCUAAAAUUAAUUCUGAGUAUAAGUUUUUGUGAGUAGCUUACGAGUGUCAGAAUUAUUCUCGAAAAAAAAAAAGUUGGUCCAGUAAGACGCUUACAAAGUAUAUGUAGAAAUACUUAUAUGACAUUGAUCAAUU